RNAcentral lists this ribosomal RNA (425 nucleotides) under uncultured bacterium. RNAcentral describes it as "bacterial SSU rRNA". It matches the Rfam family "Bacterial small subunit ribosomal RNA", at positions 354 to 796 of the family's 1533-position model. The record is from RNAcentral.
GUGGGGAAUAUUGGACAAUGGGCGCAAGCCUGAUCCAGCCAUGCCGCGUGAGUGAUGAAGGCCUUAGGGUUGUAAAGCUCUUUUGUCCGGGAAGAUAAUGACUGUACCGGAAGAAUAAGCCCCGGCUAACUUCGUGCCAGCAGCCGCGGUAAUACGAAGGGGGCUAGCGUUGUUCGGAAUCACUGGGCGUAAAGCGCACGUAGGCGGACCAUUAAGUCAGGGGUGAAAGCCUGGAGCUCAACUCCAGAACUGCCUUUGAUACUGAUGGUCUCGAGUAUGGAAGAGGUUGGUGGAACUGCGAGUGUAGAGGUGAAAUUCGUAGAUAUUCGCAAGAACACCGGUGGCGAAGGCGGCCAACUGGUCCAUUACUGACGCUGAGGUGCGAAAGCGUGGGGAGCAAACAGGAUUAGAAACCCUGGUAGUCC